RNAcentral lists this ribosomal RNA (516 nucleotides) under uncultured Planctomycetota bacterium. Its description in RNAcentral is "bacterial SSU rRNA". It matches the Rfam family "Bacterial small subunit ribosomal RNA", at positions 117 to 643 of the family's 1533-position model. The record is from RNAcentral. Lineage: Bacteria; Pseudomonadati; Planctomycetota.
GUGGGUAUCUACCUUCCGAUUCGGGAUAGCCGUGGGAAACUGCGGGUAAUACCGGAUAAUGUCUCCGGACCAAAGGUGUGAUUCCGUCAGAAGAUGAGCCCGCGUCCUAUCAGCUUGUUGGCGGGGUAAUGGCCCACCAAGGCAACGACGGGUACUAGGUGUGAGAGCACGACCCAGCUCACUGGGACUGAGACACUGCCCAGACACCUACGGGUGGCUGCAGUCGAGGAUCUUCGGCAAUGGGCGAAAGCCUGACCGAGCGACGCCGCGUGUGGGAUGAAGGCCUUCGGGUUGUAAACCGCUGUCAGAGGGGAGGAAAUGGCUGGGGGUACUCCCCCAGUCUUGACCUAUCCUCAGAGGAAGUACGGGCUAAGUUCGUGCCAGCAGCCGCGGUAAGACGAACCGUACGAACGUUAUUCGGAAUUACUGGGCUUAAAGGGUGCGUAGGCGGUGCAGAAAGUUGGGUGUGAAAUCCCCUGGCUUAACCAGGGAAUUGCGCUCAAAACUACUGUGCUA